UGGGGAAUCUUCCGCAAUGGACGAAAGUCUGACGGAGCAACGCCGCGUGAGUGAAGACGGCCUUCGGGUUGUAAAGCUCUGUGAUCCGGGACGAAAGAGCCUGAGGUGAAUAGCCUAAGGAAGUGACGGUACCGGAAAAGCAAGCCACGGCUAACUACGUGCCAGCAGCCGCGGUAAUACGUAGGUGGCAAGCGUUUUCCGGAAUUAUUGGGCGUAAAGCGCGCGCAGGCGGCUUCCUAAGUCCAUCUUAAAAGUGCGGGGCUUAACCCCGUGAUGGGAUGGAAACUGGGAAGCUGGAGUAUAGGAGAGGAAAGUGGAAUUCCUAGUGUAGCGGUGAAAUGCGUAGAGAUUAGGAAGAACACCGGUGGCGAAGGCGACUUUCUGGACGAAAACUGACGCUGAGGCGCGAAAGCGUGGGGAGCAAACAGG
Molecule: ribosomal RNA, 429 nt
Filed under: Fusobacteriota bacterium
Lineage: Bacteria; Fusobacteriati; Fusobacteriota
Description: Fusobacteria bacterium partial 16S ribosomal RNA
Rfam family: Bacterial small subunit ribosomal RNA
Source: RNAcentral